GACGAACGCUGGCGGCGUGCUUAACACAUGCAAGUCGAACGGAAAGGCCUCUUUCGGGGGGUACUCGAGUGGCGAACGGGUGAGUAACACGUGAGUAACCUGCCCUUGACUUUGGGAUAACUUCAGGAAACUGGGGCUAAUACCGGAUAGGAGCUCCUGCUGCAUGGUGGGGGUUGGAAAGUUUCGGCGGUUGGGGAUGGACUCGCGGCUUAUCAGCUUAUUGGUGGGGUAGUGGCUUACCAAGGCUUUGACGGGUAGCCGGCCUGAGAGGGUGACCGGCCACAUUGGGACUGAGAUACGGCCCAGACUCCUACGGGAGGCAGCAGUGGGGAAUAUUGCACUAUGGGUGGAAGCCUGAUGCAGCAACGCCGUGUGCGGGAUGACGGCCUUCGGGUUGUAAACCGCUUUCGCUCAUGACGAAGCUUUGUGUGACGGUAGUGGGUAAAGAAGCACCGGCUAACUACGUG
RNAcentral lists this ribosomal RNA (467 nucleotides) under uncultured bacterium. RNAcentral describes it as "partial 16S ribosomal RNA". It matches the Rfam family "Bacterial small subunit ribosomal RNA", at positions 28 to 507 of the family's 1533-position model. The record is from RNAcentral.